UCACCGGGAUAGGAUUACUCCAGUGUUAAUCAUUCAGGAUGUUCUUACCGGGAGCCGAAUUGACCGCGGAGGUAUCCUCUUCUCCAGAACAAAUGGACCCGGUGAUUACAGUUACAGUACAUACUAACCAGAGUCAACUUGAUCAUGUGCUGCCGUGUCCGGAGGAGGAUGUGGGUGGCUGCUGCUAGACGUCAACCAACCAACGAAUCAAUCAGUGAAGAGGUGGAACGCUGUGUCCAUUUUUUCCCUCCUUGAAGAACCACAAACCAGGUCAAGACAUGUGAUGAAAGGUUUGGCACUACCUGUGACUUCCAAAAUCACUUCUUUCAAUUCUUUCAGCUAUCUUUGACCUUUCUGAAAAUCACAGGCGCCACAGAAAUGUGACUGCACACACUGGGAGCUUUUUGUUCAGAGAUUGAAUAUCGGAGGUCAGUCAGCACUUCCUGUUAGAAUUUGUUACCUUCAUCUCUUGAAAGAAGUCCUUGCUCUUUGAUUCUGACACCGAAUCUGACAUUUACUGUUUAUGUUCAAGAUACCUGAAACAUCUUAUGGGAUUCUGUAUUGUGUUGGGGCACACGCCCAUAUAUUCAGUCCAUUAUAUGUUGUAUAUUGAUGGCAGAAAGACAGGAGUCUUUGGGAAACGCUCCUGUGACUUUAGAUUUCUGUGCCAGCUCAGUAACAACUGUGAUUAACUUGGAUUCAUGGCUUUUGUUGACUUCAAAUUUGACACACAACACUGGCUUCAGUGAAUCUCACUGAUUGUGACACCAAUAUGACACCAUUAUGAGUCAGACCUUACAUGGUAAUCUAUUUAACCACUGACCCACAUUACAAACCUUCAUAAUUACAAAUGACAAAACCAAAACUGAUCAGACCGUUGACUGACUUGCUUCUGCCAAACUGGAACACAAUCCACAUUAAUCGGAGUGACGCUCCCCGGAACUAGAAUUAAAUGCCAGAUUUAUCUGUUCUUCUUUGGAUACAUUUUGUCCUAGCCUUUGUCAGCUACUAAUUCACAUCACAAAUGUUUCUUCUAUUAUGUUAGCCUUUUGGUGUCCUCUUCAUGCUGGAGAGACUUUUUGAAACUUCGCUGUUACAUGAUUUGUUAUAUGAUGUGAUGAUCAAGAUCGCAAUGGAACGAUCAUCAGAGGGAACAGCUGUCAGUUUGGUGCGAUUUAAUGAGCAACUGAAUAAAUGAAUCCUGAUAUGGAUUAUGAUAUAUUUUUCCAUUCUGUGCAUCUGUCAAGCUUGCGCAUGUCUGUAAGUCUCAGUCUGCAUGCCGUUAUCUAAAUCUUUGUGGCAAUUUGCAUCUAUGCACAUGAAUGUGCGCUGUUUGUGUGUUUCCAUAUGUGCUGGCUGUAUCAAUCAGGCUGUAGAUGCUCAUAUGCUGGCAGAGUGAAAAUCUAAGUAUUUGGAGAAUGACACUGAUUUAAUUAAUUUGCUCAAGUUAAUUUUUUUUUAAUAAGACAUAGGAUAACAGUAUAUAGCCCCAGGUCAAAUGUGCCCUUCAUUAUUAGGAAUGAAUGUAAGUUUGCAAAAUUUCACAGCAAAAAGGGCAAAAAAAACCCCAAUUUGCUACCUGUUGUCUGAGGCCUGAGGAAGUAGUUGAAAGGUUUUGUAUUCACACGUAGUCAUAGAAAAUGUCAAAUGAACAGGAUGUGACUGAUGUCUUGAAUUGUUGAAAAUUGACCACAUUUGCAUGUACAGCAUGCACACUGGAGGCGAAGCAUUAGUUAUAUAGUCUGCAGAAAAAUGUAGGUCAUAUGCUCAUCUCUGUGAUGUGCUGGAUGAUUUGGAUUGGUAGAGCUGGUUGUUGGAUAGUGUUCAACCUGGGAGAAGUGCUUGCCUGCUGAUUCAGGGCAUAAAGGUCCCUGCACACACAAUUCCCAAAAGUGAUUCUCAGACAAUGCUCACGGCAGGAGUGCAACAAAAGACUGACAAUUGAAAAGCUUUUUUGCAGUUGAACUGAAGAACUUUCUCUUCCUCCGACUGUCACUUACUGACACAUUUCACGCACAAAAGUUCACUUAUAUUUAGAAACAUGUGUACACAUUGACAGAUUCUUUUACACAUUUACAAAUCUGUGCACACAUUUACAUAUGGACAUACAACUUCACAGUUCUUGCAGCCAUUAGCAACUAGUCACUGCCAUCGUUUUCAUGUAGGACUGGACAAUAUGGCUCAAAUCGAGAUUAAUAUAACUAUUAUAUUAAAAUAAAUAUUAUAUUAAUAAAAAGAUUUUCUGAUACUGAUGUAUAUAGUAUACCACAGCAUGUAAAUCCCAUUAAACAUAAUCAAUUAGCUAUUCAAUGAAAUGGACUUUUUCCCCCAACUGUUAUGCAUUACAUCAGAUAAAACUGAUCACAUUUAAAACAAGAAUUUGAACAGAUUUUGUUCCUCUGGUUCCAGACCUCUAAAUUGCCAAUAUCUCCCAUUUGUUCAGUGAUUCAAAUAAAUAUGGUGUUUCUGAUUAUUGCUUAUUGAUGGCUGGUUUUCUGGAAAAUCAAAUGACUAAUCAUUUGCCACUAAUUAGUGGGCAGGAUUAACAAUGGGGAUCCUCCUACAUAGAUAACUAGCUACUUUAUAUAAAUGAAAAACUAGCAACAGAAAAAUGUUGACAAGCUUGGGUCAACGAAUACAUCACUCGCUACCUUAACCAGAAAUUCAACGUUCUGUUAAUUCCCACAUGGUCCCAAGAUGUUAAAAGACAAUAUCAGUGAAAUCCCCCAUUGUGGAUGUUGGUGGACCAAUGUUCAAUGUUGAUCAUCAUUAUCAUGUGAAAGUAACAAAUUAUCAUGACAUAAGUACAUGUGCUGCUGUGCAGGUAAACGGCUUUUUGUAAUUUUUGUAUGGUAAUAAAUUGUUGUCGAACUUUGUUGAGAUCAUGAAGGUUUCAACUUAA
This is a long non-coding RNA of Thunnus maccoyii (southern bluefin tuna), 2902 nucleotides long. RefSeq lists it as uncharacterized. The transcript has 3 exons. Lineage: Eukaryota; Metazoa; Chordata; Actinopteri; Scombriformes; Scombridae. The record is from RefSeq and is a predicted model, not a curated record.